Molecule: non-coding RNA, 109 nt
Organism: Picea glauca (white spruce)
Lineage: Eukaryota; Viridiplantae; Streptophyta; Pinopsida; Pinales; Pinaceae
Source: Rfam
UACAACAUAGUGUUAAUGCAUCAAAUCCCAUUAGAACUUCACAAUUAACCGUGCUUAGGCUAGAGUAGUACUGGGAUGGGUGAUCACCUAGGAAGUCCUAGUGUUUUAC